CCUACGGGGGGCUGCAGUGAGGAAUAUUGGACAAUGGGUGGAAGCCUGAUCCAGCCAUCCCGCGUGAAGGACGACGGCCCUAUGGGUUGUAAACUUCUUUUGUACAGGGAUAAACCUCCCCUCGUGAGGGGAGCUGAAGGUACUGUACGAAUAAGCACCGGCUAACUCCGUGCCAGCAGCCGCGGUAAUACGGAGGGUGCAAGCGUUAUCCGGAUUUAUUGGGUUUAAAGGGUCCGUAGGCGGGCCCGUAAGUCAGUGGUGAAAUCUCGCAGCUU
RNAcentral lists this ribosomal RNA (275 nucleotides) under uncultured bacterium. RNAcentral's name for it is "partial 16S ribosomal RNA". It matches the Rfam family "Bacterial small subunit ribosomal RNA", at positions 338 to 610 of the family's 1533-position model. The record is from RNAcentral.